AGCUCCAAUAGCGUAUAUUAAAGUUGUUGCAGUUAAAAAGCUCGUAGUUGGAUUUCUGGUAGGAACGACCGGUCCGCUUCGAAAGAGGCGUGUACUAGUGUUGUAUCCGGCCAUCCUUGCGGAGAGCGGUUCUGGCAUUAGGUUGUCGGGGUCGGGAUCCGCAUCGUUUACUGUGAAAAAAUUAGAGUGUUUAAAGCAGGCAGUUGCUUGAAUACAUUAGCAUGGAAUAAUAAGAUAGGACUUUGGUGCUAUUUUGUUGGUUUGCACACCAAGGUAAUGAUUAAUAGGGAUAGUUGGGGGUAUUCAUAUUUAAUUGUCAGAGGUGAAAUUCUUAGAUUUAUGAAAGAUGAACUUAUGCGAAAGCAUUUACCAAGGAUGUUUUCAUUAAUCAAGAACGAAA
Molecule: ribosomal RNA, 400 nt
Filed under: phytoplankton environmental sample
Lineage: Eukaryota
Description: partial small subunit ribosomal RNA
Rfam family: Eukaryotic small subunit ribosomal RNA
Source: RNAcentral